AUACUGCUGCUAUUUAUGAUCAUGCUGAUGGUAUCAAAAUAUUGUUGAGAAGGAAUAAGGAAUGUGUAAACAAAACCAACAAUCGAAAAGAAACACCUUUACAUAUAGCUGUCAGAUAUGGUCAUACAAAAUGUGCUGAAUUGCUGAUUGAAAAUGGGGCUUCAUUACAUGCAGUUGAUAAUAUUGGAGAUACUCCAAUACACACAGCAAUCCAAUACAGACAA
Mytilus californianus (California mussel) is the source of this 224-nucleotide long non-coding RNA. RefSeq lists it as uncharacterized. NCBI's taxonomy places the organism in Eukaryota, Metazoa, Mollusca, Bivalvia, Mytilida, Mytilidae. The record is from RefSeq and is a predicted model, not a curated record. The transcript is spliced from 3 exons.